GGGGAAUUUUGGACAAUGGGCGCAAGCCUGAUCCAGCCAUGCCGCGUGCGGGAAGAAGGCCUUCGGGUUGUAAACCGCUUUUGUCAGGGAAGAAAUCUUCUGAGUUAAUACCUCGGGAGGAUGACGGUACCUGAAGAAUAAGCACCGGCUAACUACGUGCCAGCAGCCGCGGUAAUACGUAGGGUGCAAGCGUUAAUCGGAAUUACUGGGCGUAAAGCGUGCGCAGGCGGUUUUGUAAGACAGAGGUGAAAUCCCCGGGCUCAACCUGGGAACUGCCUUUGUGACUGCAAGGCUUGAGUGCGGCAGAGGGGGAUGGAAUUCCGCGUGUAGCAGUGAAAUGCGUAGAUAUGCGGAGGAACACCGAUGGCGAAGGCAAUCCCCUGGGCCUGCACUGACGCUCAUGCACGAAAGCGUGGGGAGCAAACAGGAUUAGAUACCCUGGUAGUCCACGCCCUAAACGAUGUCAACUGGUUGUUGGGAAGGUUCCUUCUCAGUAACGUAGCUAACGCGUGAAGUUGACCGCCUGGGGAGUACGGCCGCAAGGUUG
This 547-nucleotide ribosomal RNA is filed under the name uncultured bacterium. Its description in RNAcentral is "partial 16S ribosomal RNA". It matches the Rfam family "Bacterial small subunit ribosomal RNA", at positions 356 to 896 of the family's 1533-position model. The record is from RNAcentral.